RNAcentral lists this long non-coding RNA (17758 nucleotides) under Salvia miltiorrhiza (redroot sage). RNAcentral's name for it is "long non-coding RNA (SMIL_LNC007966)". Lineage: Eukaryota; Viridiplantae; Streptophyta; Magnoliopsida; Lamiales; Lamiaceae. The record is from RNAcentral.
UUUAUAUUUGGGGAUAACUAACAAAUCUUAAGAAGGAAGCAAGCCUUUAUUUCUUUUUCUUCCGGUGAGUUCGUCGACCCUCUUUCACUCUUUCGUUAAUCUUAAUUUUUAUUUUGUUUCAAGCAUGAAAGGGACGAGCCACCAUUUCUGAGAAUAUGUUAGCGAACUCUUCUAGGUAAGAAUCACUUAAUCAAGCUUCCUCUGUAUUCAAAAUUGAAGAAGCUUUCCUACAUCAUUCCUUAUUAUUUUUCGAAAAUAGGGGUAUUGGGAGGGGAGUCAGUUUGAUCUUGAAUUAUGUUAAUUCUUAUGUGUUUAAGCUAGUUUUUUAUUAGAAUUAAGUAGUAUGAUGGAAGAAAUCAAAAUCCUACCCUAAAGCCCCAAAUUUUCAAUCCCUCCCAUGAACCCUAGAAUCUAUUUCCUACAUGUUUGCAUCAAUUGGCUAUGUAUAUACGUUUAUAUACAUUAAGAUGAUGUAUUUGAGUUGGUAUAGCUUUUAUUUGAUAAAAAUAUGAGUAUAUGUUGAGCUAAUACGAAUAAGGUAUUGCUGUUAGUUUUGCUGUACAGGACAGUACCUUGUAAGGUAUUUUCGGGAGUGUUCCCGUGGUCCAAAUGACUUGAAAUUUUUAUAGUAAUACUUCAUUAUAAGUAGUAGAUCUCUGAAAAAUUUCACAGAUCCGCCGUCUGUAUUUGUAUGAUUAUGGCUGGCAGAUUCUGUCUUUCUUGAUAUACUAGUACGCGCGCCCGUGCGAUGCACGGUUAACAUCAAAAUUAAAUGAUAUUUAAAAUAAAUAAAUAUAAUUAAAAUAUAAGUAAAUGUAAAUCAUUUGUUUAAAAGUGAAAUAAUUCACAUCAAUUAUUUAAUAAAAAAUAUGAAUAUGAAAGCAUAUGAAUUUUUAAUUUUCAAUAUUUGAAAUAUUUAAUUUUAAUUAAUAAUGAGUACAAAUAUGUAAAUUUAUCCGUUUAAAUACAAAUUUUAUAAAUAAAGUUUCCAAAAAAUUGAUUUUUCAAAAAGAGAUAGGAUUUAUUUUCAUAAAUAACAAUUGCCAAUUAAUUACGUAAAUUAAAGAACUUUAAAUUGAGCUAAUAUAAUAAAAAUAAAACAAAAUUACUAUAAAAAAGAAAAUAAAACAAAAUUACUAUAAAAAAAGAAUAAAGAUAAAAAGUCGUAACAUUUUAUUGAAAGAAAGAAAAAAGAAGAGUGGAGAGAGGAGAGAUGAGAGAAAAAAAAUAGAUUUUUAUGAUUUGAAACGAUUUUAACUUUUUCGAGUUAAUUUUUUAUAUACAUAAAAUUUACAUCAAAUUAAAGAUCUUGUCAUGAUCUUUAGUUUAAGAUCCAUAUUGAAUAUUUUUUAUUAAUCGAAUUUGAUGAUUUUUAGAAAAGAACAAAAAAAAGGAGAAGUGAGAGAAAAAUUCAUGGAAAUCAUAUUUAAUCAAAUACUAAUAUGGAUGUUAAAAUGGGUGAGAGAACGUGUAGAUGAGGGAGAUAGGAGAGAGAAAAUGUGAUAAAAUAGGUGAUAGAUGAGAGAGAAAAAUUGGCGCCAAAAAAGAGCCGUUAGAAACUGAUGUUUCAUAUAUAUAUAGAUUUUCUUAUACACUUGAGAUAUUGCAUUUUUGUAAAUUUUCAUUAAAAAUAGACUUUAAGAGCUUUCUAAAAAGGUAAAUCAUGUAUUUUUCUUUGAAGAGGUUGAUUUUAUAUGAUAUUUGAAAGUUGAGAUUCAUAUAUGAUUACAUAUUUGAAGUUACUACUUGGGAUAGUUGAGUAGAACUAUGCUUAAGUCAUUGGUCAAUUCUUGAAUUGAUGGUUUAGUUAUUAAUUGUAAGCUAAUCUAUAUAGAAUGGAUUAGUUUGCUCUUUUCAACUUGAGAUAUCCCAAGAGAUAUGAUGUUACUGUUUGCUUUUAGUUAGUUAAGUCCAUAAAAGUAGAAUACUCAGAUUAGAGGAUACAACUUUCAAGCGAUAGAAGUUUCAUUCAAGAUUUAUUUCCUAUUUACUCACUUAUUAUCAAUCUUACCUGGGAACCUCAUUAUAAUGAAGGUUCGAGUGGCAGUGUAGAAUGAACAAGCAAAGACUUCUAUUUCAUUAAGCGUAUCAGGUGGGCUUACUAACUCAAGAAGUAAAGAUGCAUACUUUAUUAUAUAAAGUUUGAGUGUAUACGUUUAUUUUCCAAUUAUUGACUUGCCAAUAUUUGAAAUUUGUAUGUGCCACGACCGGUCCUAAUUAAGGAUAAUUAAGCCGGGAAAUCGUGGCUAAUGGAGGGAGAUUAGAAGCGGGGUAGAAAGGGGAAUAAUCAAACAAGAAAGGAUCGUAUUUCAUCAUUGUUAACAACAUGGAUAUCUAUAAUAUAACAGAGUUUUUGUCGUAUAGACUCAAAUAACUAACAAGUUCGGAUAACUCCGACUUAUCCAAAAUAACAUAAAACUUCUGAGUACGCAGCGGAAUAAGGUUCUGAUUACAUGUAUGAAGACAUGUAACCCUAGAGUUCAUUAAUACAUAAUAAGACAAAAGAGUCCCGCUCGUCACUUCAUCACCAUCGGCAGCUGCUCAACCUGCACAUUUAGAAAUAUAUGCAGGGCUGAGUACAAAAGUACUCAGUGGACACGUAUGCCUAAUUAUAAAAAUACAUGCUUCAAAACUGUAAAUUGUCAUGCCAUCAUAAACAGUACAGCAAGGGAGUUUUUCGCUAAAAAGGCCCAAGCUUACUAAAUUCAUUUGUGAUUCUUAAAGUUCGUCUGCAGACUAAGUUCUCUUGUAAUCUAUCAUAUCUGGAACUGUGUGCCGGAGAGGUGGCCACCUCUCACGGACACUUGACCGGCCAACCCGCUAGAUGACUCACGGUCACUGGUGUACACUAGCCCUGGCAGGAUAGCUAUCAACUGCUCAAGACCCGAAUUCGAUUACAUGAUAAAAGUCACAUCAGAUAGAUAUCAUACUGAAAUUUAAACAUUUUAUGGCAAGACAAUAUUUAGAAAUAACUUCAAUUAAUUUAGUCAUGAAAUAACUUGCUUGAACGUAACAUUUAAACUCAUUUGAUAUAUAUGAAAGUAAUGCCACCUGAUAGAAAUUUCUGUGGUACAGUAGCUCCUUGACUGAUUAUUAAUCUCGUGCUUGACCUUUAUUACGAGAAUAUAAAUAAGAUAUUGCUCGAGUAAAAUCCUCAAUUAAUGAGAAUGCGUAAUUUAACUAUGCAUGACUCUUAUGCAUGAUUUAUUAUUCUGAGAUAAUAAUCAGGGAAUUUCUAUUAUUAAUCCUACUAUCGGAUCAAAUAAAUACAAUAAGGUUUCGUCUCAUGAGGUCGGAUAAUUAACUAAAAUAAUCCGUUCUCUUCGGGUGUUCUAAUCCGUCAAUUAAAUAAACCCCGUUCCUCGUAGUCAAUAGAAAAUAAAUAAACUUCAACUUAUUCGCUUUAUAACCUCAUAAUUAAUCGGGCUUAAUAAAUAGGAACAAGUAAUGUUAUAAGAUUAAAUAAUUAAAAGGCUCAACAUAAGGCAGCCUAAUAAUCACAAUCAAACAUCAUCAAAACAUGCUCUGCUUUUACACUGACUCAACUUCAAAAUUUAAUCUGUUCUGACUCCGACAUCUCCUGGACUCGAGACUCAUACCGAAAGAAAGAUCUUCGAGUCUAGUUUCAUAUAAAAAAAAAUAGAGUCGAAAACUCCAAGUGGUUUGAGAGAUAUGACGUUUUUACCACGAUCUACCAUGUUCGGCAGUUUUGAACAAUCGAAAACUUGUAUUUUUGAAAAAUAGUAAACGUUGUCAAACUGGGCUCAACUUUGGUGGAUAUCUAAAUAACACAAUAAGGUUAAUACCAUAAAAAUUUGGAAAGCUAGAUCACCCAGGAAGCUACUGAAAUAAAUGACUCUUUUCUCUGUUCUCUGAAAUUCUCAGUAGUAAUGUGCAGUUUAGGUUUUGCAUUUUAAAGAAGUAUCAUACGAAGUUGGAAUGGCUUGAAAUUUUACCAGGGUACUCAAGACUCAUGUAGGGACUUGCUAUAAAAUUUUCAAAGCUGUUAGACAUCGACAAACCGUCGAUCACAGUAGGUCAGUAGGCCUACGAAAUUCAUAUUUAUAAGUCCUUAAAAAUAAUUUAUAUAAAUCAAGAAAUAAUAGUUUAAUCCCAAAAAUAUUCAUUAAAAGUCCAUCCUAAUUUAAAUAAAGAACGGACCUCAUUUAAAAUAAAUAGUCCCAAACUUGUUACGCACAUAUACUAAAUCUUUCACGAAACAUCCUUUAAAAUAAACUUUGAUACAUAGAAAAUAAUUCAACAACUUGAGCUCUUAAGGGGUUGUUUUACAACAGACACCAAAUCUACCUCGGAUCUCCAAAUGAGGCUCCAAAAGACAUUCUGGAAACUAGACAUUUCAAGGAUCAUUCUCCAAUUUGAAUCGAAUGAAAAACAAUUCAAACGAGCAAGAUAUGCCUCUCAAAGAUGGGUAUUUAACAAGCAAAAAUCUGUAAAUUUCAUAUUUCCAGAUUACAACCAAGUCAGUGGGCUUUCUUUAAAAAUUACAUAUCUCCCUUUACAAAACUCCACUGGGAACCCCAAAGGUCAAUCUGGAAACUAGGGAGAGAUCAUAACACUCUCCAGUUGGAUUUACUCUAAGAACCUUCAUGGUUUAGAAGAUAUGACUAUCUAAAGUUCAGUGCACAAAAAGAGUUCAAGUUUGGCAGAUUCAGAACAUAAAUCGGAAAAACCACUUUAAGCUUCACCAAAAAUUCUAAAACUGAACAAGUAAGUUCCCAACAUGUCAGUGAAUAUUCAGUAGAAAGAUAGGCUUGAGAAUCAAAUAUUUAAGUCGGCCUUUUCCACCUCAAAGUCGUAGGUUUGUAAAUCUACUGGAUGGUACAUGGAAUAAGAACUAGAUUUCAAGAAUUAUACCGGUUGUUUCCCUUAACUCAAAAAUGGUAGAGGCCGAUGUCAAAAGAAAGAUACGGGAGUCUAGAGUGACUAUAUUCAAGUUUCAAAGGUUUUCACCGAUUGAAACUUACUUAUGAUCUCCCAAAGAUUAGUUUACCAAAAAUAGUAUUCCAGAUGGGCAGUGAUGUUUACUAAAUUACUAUAAAUAAAUACAUAGCGAGCUCUAAAUAUUACUUGAAAUUUUACCUAAAAUAAUAGAAAAUGUAUGAAAGAUGAUACACAAUUAAUUUGGGAAUUUUUGGGAACCAUUUGGAUGGCUGGAAUCGCCUUGCAAAACACUGCCGGAGCAGUGUGCUUAUGGCAGAUUCGCUGCCUUACCUCAUGCACGGUUUUUCACCCAAUAAACUCUAGCUUCGAGUGUUGGGGGUACUACUGGACUGGAGCAGCUUGAAAUCUUGGCAAAGUAGUUAAGCCAAGUCUUCCUUCUCUUUGUGAUUGCUGGUGCGAAAAUGGAAGGAAUGGGUGAAGUGUUGGAGUUGUGGGGAGCAAAGGUAGUGGAGAUGGUGGGGAGCAUAGGGUAGUGGAGUUGAUGGAGUGGGGAACAAAAUUAAUGGAAAGAAAAAGAGAAGAAAAAGAAAGGAAAAAAAAAUAGUAGAGGAGAAUUAUUGAUGUAUUUUCUCUGUCUCGGUGAUUCUGUAACCGUAAGAUGGAUCGUGUGCUCGUAUAUGCUUGAUACUGUUUAUUUAAAUAAAUCUCGUAUUUCGACAUGUGAUUUCUCGCUUAAAUCGAUAAAUUAUAAAAUGAAUCUAAAUUAAAUCCGUAGAUUGUGACACCCCGAAUAUUUAGAUUUAUUAUAUAAGUUUAAUUAUUAGUAUUUUCUUGUUAUAGCUUAUUAUUAUUUUUAGAUAAUUACGUGAUAUAUAUAGAUAUGUAGCAUUAAAAUUGAUCAAGAUUAUUAUUAUUAUUAUUAUUAUUAUUAUUAUUAUUAUUAUUAUUAUUAUUAUUAUUAUUAUUAUUAUUAUUAUUAUUUGUUUCCUAUUAGAAUUAGAACUCUUUAAAAACUAGUAUAAAUAUGAGAUCAAUUUUCAAACCCUAAGACACACCCGUAGAACCCGAAGCAGCCAUCAAUUAUAGGUACAUUCUUCUCUUUUUUUAUUCUUUUACGCAAGGUUUUACGAAAAUUUCUCUAAAUAAUAAGCCUUCAAAUUUUAGUAGUUUUUACACAAGUUUUAGGAAUCGGUACUUUUCAAUUAUUUCUUUUAAGUUUCAAUUAGUCUGUUUUGGUAUAUAUAUUUGAAUAGUUAGAUAGUUGACUUUUAUUGGAAAUUGUACAUCGAAGGUGGUAGUAUGCCAAGUCUUAUUUCUUUCGUUACAUCAUUGAUUAAGUUUCAAAACAUUAAAUGAGUUUAAAUUAAAUAGUAUCAUUUCAUGAUUGUUUUAUUACUUUAAAUUCUUAAAGUUUCACACUGAAGUUAUUUUUAUAAACGAUUUUUUCAUCUCAUCUUUAGAUAGAAAAGUUCUUUUACAUAUUUAUUUUAGUAUACAGUUAGUUUGACUCCAAAAAAAUUUUAUUUUCCUAUAUUCAAGAAUUCAUAUAUAUGUACACACAUAUAUAAAUAUAUAUAUGCACGAUUAAUUUAUUAUAGUAUAUAUAUGAUUAUAUAGGAUUUGAUAUAGGAUGUUAGUUUAAAUUAUUGUAGGAUUUUUAUUAAGCGUUGUAUUUAUUGAAUUAGGUGCGGUACGAUUAAGAUCUUCAUUCCGGAUUUUUAGUCUCGACAUUAAGGUGAGGGAUUAUAUGCUGGUUGUUAUAUUCAUGUAUGUUUGAAUGUGCUUUUAGUUCAUAUUUGAUUAUGCUUGCUCAGAUACAUGUCUAGAUACAUGUUCAGAAUAUCAUGUUCAAGUACAUGAUCAGAAACGCAAAAAUAUCAUGUUCAAGUACAUGAUCAGAACGCAGAAUAUCAUGUUCAAGUACAUGAUCAGAACGCAGAAUAUCAUGUUCAAGUACAUGAUCAGAAAAUUUAGAAACACUCAGAAUUCAGUAUAUGUGUAUGAUGACAAUGUGAAUUAUUUGCAUGUUUAAGUGUAUGUGAAUAUGUGCAUGAUUCUUCACUGAGUAUAUAUAUUUUUCAAUAUGCUCAUCCCUUAUCUUUUCAGUUUUGCUAGUUUUGGAGUCGAGGUGGCCAUGGAAGUCGAGAAUGACUAGAGAUUUUGUAUUUCCAUAGAAAUUUAAGUUGAACAUGUUACUUUUUAGUUUAUCAUUUUAUUUCAUGUUACUACUUUAGUUUUGGCAAGUUGAUUUUAAAUUGGUUAAACUUUUAUAAUUCAAGAAUUUUAUUUAACUAUUAGUUCUUCAAGGUUUUUAGUAUUGAAAAGUUUAAGAAAAUUGGGGUGUUACAUAGUGGUAUCAGAGCGGGUCUACGUUCCUGUAGACUCGUGUUUUAAAAGAAAAUUUGCUUUCAAAAGAUUAAAUGAUCUUAGUCAUUCGAAACUCAUGUGCUGCAUCGACUUCAGGUAUGUGUUUUAAUUGUUCAAGUUUAUGGCAGUUAUGAUGUGUUACAUGACAUUUUUUUUUAUGAUGCUUUUAUGUUCAAGUAUUACUACGUUUAGAUCCAAUAAAAAAAAAGUUGGAAUUCUGAAAUUAUUUUGACGACACAAAUGAAGCUUGAUUAGAAAUUUCGAGGACAAAAUUAUUUUAAGUGGGAUAGGUUGUUACACCCCUAAUAUUUAGAUUUAUUAUAUAGGUUGAAUUAUUAGUAUUUUCUUUUAUAGCUUAUUUUUUUUAGAUAAUUACAUGAUACAAAUAGAUAUGCACCAUUAAUUUUUUUGUCUAGACUAUUAUUAUUAUUAUUAUUAUUAUUAUUAUUAUUAUUAUUAUUAUUAUUAUUAUUAUUAUUAGAACUAGAACUCUUUUAUUAUAUUUAUUUUUUAUCUUAUUAGGAGAUAUACACAGGAUACAAUCUUUAUAUUUAUCAAACUCUUUCUAAACUAGUAUAAAUAGAGACACGAUUUUACCCUAAGAAGACAGACGCAGAACUCUAAGCCAAUAUUGAGAAUCGGUACCUUCCUCUCACUUAUUUUGUUUUACGCAAGGUUUUGUUAAAUUAACUUAGCCCACGUUUGGUUGGGUGUUUUUAGAGGUAGGAAAGGGAAUCAAGUAAUUGAAUCCAUUACUUGUUGUUUGGUUUGAGUAAUGGGAUAAUCAUUACCCUUACUUGAGGGUAUUCCAAUCACCCAAUUUGUCGCCCCUUAAAAUAGAGGGAAAACAAAAGAAAGGGAAUCCCUUACUAAUGAUUCAUUUCCAUUGUUAAACCAAACACUCAAUAAAAGUAAUGGUUAUUGUUACCAUUCCACUCCUUUAUUUGAUUCCAUUCCCUUUCCAUUCCUCUACUUGAACCAAACGAGCACUUAUUUGUUUCAAACUGUAAGUGUUCAAUUUUUUUAGUAGUUGUUAAUACUUAAUUUUUUUACACUCAUGAAAAUCGACGCUACAUCAAUACUCUUUCAACUUUCUUUCUUUUAAGUUUCAAUUAGUGGAUUAUGGCAAUCAAGUUUUUAAUCUGUUUUCAUAAAUUCGAAUAACUUAUAGUUAGACUUCUAUUAAAAAUUUUAUAUAUAAUAUUUUUUUAACCACAUCAAAAGUGGUGGCUGCCGAAUUUUUAGUAGUUAACUAAGUUUUUGAGAUUUAAUUACUUUGGAUUAAAACUUUAACAUGUUUAUUGCAUUGUUUUUAAAGCAAAAUAUUAUUUUAAUAAAGAUAUUUAGUUCCUAAAAGUUUUCGAUUACAGAAUCUUAUAUAUUUUUUUCGUAUGCUUAAGAAUAUAUAUACAUAUAUAUAUAUAUAUAUAUAUAUAUAUAANAUACGAACACACUACUACUAUAUAUAUAUAUAUAUAUAUAUAUAUAUAUAUAUAUAUAGGGGGGCCGCUCCAAUGAGACCCCCUAAUUUUAGUGAGAUCUAGGACACGAUCUGAUGCGUUUAUUUUAUCAAUCCUAUGGCUGAUAUUGUAUCUGGAGGGUGAUUUUUUCGCAGGGUUCGAAUCCUGGAGGGAGCAGAAUAUUUUAAAUUUUGUUAUUCAUCAGAAUAUAAUGCAUUGUUCAUCAGUAUAUACGGCCAUGUUCAUCAGUAUAUAUGUCUUAUUCAUUACCAAUUUUUAAAUUUAAUUUUCAUCAGUAUAUAUAUCUUGUUUAUUAGAUAUACGUUUUGUUCAUUAGUAUUAUAUGUCUUAUUCAUUGUACUCAUGUUACACAAAAAUAUGGGGUCUCACUGGAGCGCGCCCCUAAGUAUAUAUAUAUAUAUAUAUAUAUAUAUAUAUAUAUAUAUAUAUAUAAAUGCGAUUAGAUCAGUUGUAUAUUUGAACAUAUAUAUUAGAUAUAACUAAUUUUAAGCUUUGAUAUAGGAGUUUAGUUUAAGUUAUUGUAGGAUCUAUAUUAAAGCAUUUUAUUCAUUGAAUUAGGUGCGGUGCGAUUAAGUCCCUCAUUCCGAAUUUGAUUUAUUAGCUUCGUCGUUAAGGUGAGGGAUUAUAUGCUUGUCGUUAUAUUCAUGUAUGUUUGAAUGUGCUUUUAGUUCAUGUUUGAUUAUACUUGCUCAGAUACAUGUCUAGAUACAUGUUCAGAAUAUCAUGUUCAAGUACAUGAUCAGAAACGCAAAAUAUCAUGUUCAAGUACAUGAUCAGAAACGCAGAAUAUCAUGUUCAAGUACAUGAUCAAAAACUCAGAAUAUCAUGUUCAAGUACAUGAUCAGAAAUUCAGAAACACUCAGAAUUCAUAAUAUGUGUAUGACAAUGUGUUUUAUUUGCAUGAUUAAGCAUAUGUGAAUAUGUGCAUGUUUCCUGACUGAGUAUAUUUUCAAUAUGCUCACCUCUUAUCUUCUCAGUUUUGCAGUUCUGGAGUCGAGGUGGCCAUGGAAGUCGAGAAUGACUAGAGAUUUAGUAUUUCCAUAGAAAUUUAAGUUGAACAUGUUACUUUUUAGUUUAUCAUUUUAUUUCAUGUUACUACUUUAGUUUUGACAAGUUGAUUUUAAAUUGUUUUAAACUUUUAUAAUUCAAGAAAUUUUAUUUUAACUAUUAGUUCUUCAAGGUUUUUAGAUUGAAAAGUUUAAGAAAAUUGGGGUGUUACAUAGUGGUAUCAGAGCGGGUUUACGUUCCUGUAGACUCGUGUUUUAAAAGAAAAUUUGCUUCAAAAGAUUAAAUGAUCUUAGUCAUUCGUAGGGCUGGGAAUUUCGGGAUCGGGUUAUCGGGUACCCGAUACCCGACCCGAAAAAAUCGGGUAUAGGGUACCCGAUACCCGAUUUUUUCGGGAUCGGGUACGGGAUCGGGUAUUUAGGGGUCGAAAUAAUCGGGUAUCGGAUAUACCCGAUCGGGUAUCGGGUAUACCCGAAUUACCCGAUAUUUUUAAUUAAUAAAUUUUAAACUAUUUAAUUAAAUUAAAUAUGAAAUGUAAAUAAUCGGCCCCCUGUACUGUUUUGUUUCCCAAAAUCAAUUCAUCCCUCCCAAUUCAGCCCGCCGGCCCUAACCUCUCGGCUCUCACUCCAGAGUCCAGCCCCGGCCAAGAGGCGGCGUUCGUCGUCGAAUUAUUCGAGGGAGGAGAAGUAGGGUGACCGAAUCUGUGGUUUUAUUUGAGAGAUCUGAACAGGGGAGAGGAGAGGAUGAGCGAAGGCCUGGGCCGACGGCGGCGGUAAUUUGAGCUUUGUUCUUGCUGGGAUUCGAGCAGCGGCGGAUCUUGGAAGGCUGAUUCGCCGGCUCCUAACAGUGGUGGAGGCGGCGAACUCGGACAACGAAGAUGGAUUAGGGGCUGUGGUAGCCGAGUGGUGGUCGGAGACGACGCCUAUCACCGGAUAAUCGGAGGGGAAGAAGGUGAUCUAGGGUUCAAAAAGCCCCUUAUCUGCCGAAUUUGGAAAUUAAGGUGCGGGGUUGGCGCCGCUGUUCACUUGACGACGGUGGUAAUUGUAUCGAGAAGGAGACGAGAGGGGUGAGGCGAUUUCGCCGGUGGUUUGAACCAGAAUGAGUUUAAUUUGGGCUUGUAUUUCAUAGCCUCUAUCUGCAUUGUAUCAUCGAUUUGAGUUUGUGAUUUGUACUGUUUGUGUUUGCUGAUUGAGAAAGAUUUGUGUGAGGAAAAAGAGAAAUCGAGGGGUGUCUGGCUCAGUCGCCCAGCCGUUUCCGAUACCCUCGACCCUCGCCAAUCGUUCCCGUCGUUCCGCCGCCGCCUACGACUUCGCCCCGCAGCAGCCGCACCGCCUCCGAGCUCCAACAGGCGCUGCUGCUUCUUCUUCUUCCUCUCUUUUUUUUUUUUUUAAAUAAACAACUUUUUUUUAUCUUGGUUUGAGAAUUGAGCAAAAAAAAAAUGAAAUUAUGUACAGAUUUGAAAGUUGGUACAGAUCGGGUAUUUUAGGGUACUCGAAUACCCGACUCGGGUACCCGAGUCGGGUAUUAGGGUACCCGAGUCGGGUAUUAGGGUACCCGAUUUCAAUUUCGGGGUCAGGGUCGGGUAUAGGGUUUAGGGGAUUUUCGGGUUCGGGUACCCGAUUUUUUCGGGUAGGGUACCCGAACCCGACCCGAUUCCCAGCCCUAGUCAUUCGAAACUCAUGUGCUGCAUCGACUCCAUGUAUGUGUUUUAAUUGUUCAAGUUUAUGGCAGUUAUGAUGUGUUACAUGACAUAUUUUUUUAUGAUGCUUUCAUGUUCAAGUAUUACUACAUUUAGAUCCAUUAAAAAAAAGUGGGAAUUGUGAAAUUAUUUAGACGACACAGCUUGAUUAGAAAUUUUGAGGACAAAAUUAUUUUAAGUGGGAUAGGUUGUUACACCCCAAAUAUUUAGAUUUAUUAUAUAGGUUGAAUUAUUAGUAUUUUCUUUUAUAGCUUAUUUUUUUAGAUAAUUACAUGAUACAAAUAGAUAUGCAUCAUUAAUUUUUUUGUCUAGACUAUUAUUAUUAUUAUGAUUAUUAUUUUUAUUAUUAGAACUAGAAUUCUUUUAUUAUCUUUAUCUUUUAUCUUAUUAUGAGAUAUACACAGGAUACAAUCUUUAUAUUUAUCAAACUCUUUCAAAACUAGUAUAAAUAGAGACACGAUUUUACCCUAAGAACGCAGAACUCUAAGCCAAUAUUGAGAAUCGGUACCUUCCUUUCACUUAUUUUCUUUUACGCAAGGUUUUGUUAAAUUAACUUAGUUUGUUUCAAACUGUAAGUGUUCAAUUUUUUUAGUAGUUGUUAAUACUUAAUUUUUUUCCACUCGUGAAAAUCGAUGCUACAUCAGUACUCUUUCAACUUUCUUUCUUUUAAGUUUCAAUUAGUGGAUUAUGGCAAUCAAGUUUUUAAUCUGUUUUCAUAAAUUCGAAUAGCUUAUAGUUAGACUUCUAUUAGAAAUUUUAUAUAUAAUAUUUUUUUUUAACCACAUCAAAAGUGGUGGCUGCCGAAUUUUUAGUAGUUAACUAAGUUUUGAGAUUUAAUUGCUUUGGAUUAAAACUUUAACAUGUUUAUUGCUUUACUUUUAAAGCAAAAUAUUAUUUUAAUAAAAGAUAUUUUAGUUCCUUAAAAGUUUUCGACUACAGAAUCUUAUAUAUAUAUUUUUUCGUAUGCUUAAGAACUAAAAACUAAAAACGGCUGAAUUCUAUGUAGAACACGUAUGAAUUAGCUGUGUAACUGUAUGAAUUGCGAAAGGUCCUGAAUUCUAUGUAGAACACGUAUGAAUUGGCUUAAUUCAUACAGUUACACAGCUAAUUCAUACGUGUUCUACAUAGAAUUCAGCCGUUUUUAGUUUUUACAAAAAGAUGUGUUUUUAUUAUAGCCCACCCCUAUAUAUAUAUAUAUAUAUAUAUAUAUAUAUAUAUAUAUAUAUAUAUAUAUAUAUAUAGUAAUAAAAUAAAAAUUGGAUUUCAAAUUUGAGAAAGCUCAAAAUGUGUUUGAGAAGUUUGAGAAGCAAUAUAAUAGAUGAACAUGUUAGUACAUUUUGAUGAACAUGGUAAUUAGACACUAUAUAAAUAAAUUCUUUGAACAUACCAAAUACAACUGACGAACAUACGAAUCUAUUUAAUUUAUUAAAAAAUACGUCACCGCCAAUGAUCGAACCCCAGAUCAAACUCGUGUUCAUAAAAAUUAAUUGGCAUGUUCAUCUAUUAAAUUGCUUCCCAACUUCUCAACACAUAUGAGCUUCUCAAUAUAACCUAAUGUAGUGACCCGCUCUUUUAUUUUAAUUAAAUAUGGUAUCGCGAUAAUUAAUAUCGCAUCUUUCAGUAAAUAGAACCCAGUUACCAGUUAUAUAUGAAUCCAGUUUAUGAUCCUGAUUUUUUUUUAUCAGAGAUGGAGUAUUAUUUUAGCCGUAUGCUUUUGUAUGCAUGAGAAAAACGCGACGAGGAUUAUUGAGCUAUUCAAUAAUUAUUAUUUCCAAGUUAUAACUGACUUAGCAAAGUCAUGUUAUUUAUUAAUCGAGAAACAGAAGCAGUUAUAUUUUAUUGGUGCUACUAGAAGUCGAGGAAUUAUUCCGACUACAACGCAGAUUAAAUCUACGGAUUUAAUUUAAGUUAUAUCACAGUUUAUCAAGUUAUCAGGCAAGGAAAAAANAAAAAGAUAUCAAACAGAUACAGAAAUGCGAUGAUUAGAGAAUCGAAGCCAGUAUUUUAUUACAGUUCGCGAAUACAGUCUACUUCCCAGCUUGGAGAAAAUCGUUUAUCACAAAAGUUGUAGACCCCACGUGGCCCACUUUGCUGCCACUAGCUCAAGUUUGAGCAAAAUAGUCAAAAAAAAGAAAAGAAAAGAGAAAGGAAAGUCAAAAAGGGGGAGGGAAAUGUGUGCUGCAGAGAGAACAAAUUCUGCACUCCCUCUUCCCCUUGCAAAAGAAGCCAACCACCUGCUGCUCUCCAUCUUUUCAACCCUCGACAAAGAGGACUUUCAGCCACCCUAUCUAUGCUCAUCUUGCUAGCAUACUCAAGUAUGUAGCAACCAAUUUCCUCUUUUAGUAUCAACUUCCACCAGCAAAACAAUACUCACUCACAUCUCUUUUUUUUCACCCAAAAGUAUCGAAGAGUCCCAGCUUGUUUCUGCCAAGGUCUCAAGGUAACACCUGCUGAAAUGCUCCAUCUUCUUCCAUUUAUCUACCUGAAAUUAUUGAGACAACAACAUCAAUUUCUUUCAGUUCCAGUUCAUUCAACACACCAUAACCGAAAAACAAGAGAAUCACUCGUUCACUCCUUGCCAGAAACUUCAAGGUAAUCAUGCUAUCCUAUUAUCCAUACCAGUGAGCAUUCAUACCAAGCAUGAUCAUGAUCAGUUUCAUAAGCAUAGAAAACCGUAUAAUUAUCUUGAACUUACUAAGCACCCCAACUAUGCGAUCAUGAACAAGUGACAAUUCAUAUGAAGUUUUAAGCGAGCAUAAUUUGAGUCUAUGCAAAACAAGAAUAUUUGCACUCUGCCUAGUCCGAUUGAGUAUAGAUAGAAAUAGAAUUGAGUGGGGAAAAGACUUAGCUUUGAGAAGAAGGGCUGACUGCCCGAUGACGACGACGAUGGUCGGAACAGGGCGAACUCGCCCAACCUCAUCAGGGCCCCGAACAGCAGCAACGGUCCAAGGGCAGCAGCGGCGCGGUGAGAGGCGUAGGUGAAGGAAUAUUAAACUGAAUUAACGUUCCGCUUUGCCCGAUGAUCGUUUCUUGGAUUAUUAUUAAUUUAUCAUACAACGAUUAAUCCUAACAUGCUCCUAUGAAUUUAACAGCUGCACGUUGGAGUUCAGAAAUACCUGAAGAAUUCAGAAGAAUUCGCAGAUUCGCAUCUGAACAGACCAGUCAGCUUCAAGCCUUCGUUUGAAGCCUCAAACGUCCUCAAAUCGUAUUUCGCCCAGAAAUACGACUUCUUCGUCUUGAAGAGAGCUUUCCGUGGCCGCCUGAUUCGUCUGAAUCGGAGUUCUGUGGAGGAAGUUAUGGCCGUUUUACGGAGACUGCCAGAACUUGGUUUCCUGCGAAAAUCUGACUCCAGCUCUGAUCUUCUCGACUGUAUCCCGCUCAGCUUUCACCGUUGGAUGGACAACGAUCUAUGAAGUCCCAAGAGAGAANUAAGUCCCACACGUUUUUCUUCCCUGCGCCCCACAGCUCUCAAAACCCUAAUAUUUUAUCAGUGUGUUUUCCUGAGAGCUGACAGCUGUAUUUAAAUAAAAUUAAAUACGUGUGGGCACAGAAUUAGUGUAGGAGGCGUUUUUCUCUCCUUCUAGGGCUAGGAGACAUUGGGCCAGUCCAGGGACCAGAUACAAGGAAUAAAGAUGGGCCUCAAAUAAAUUAAUUUAUCUAUGGUCAGCCCAGACCAUAAUUAAUUUAUAAAUAUCAGUUCAUUCCACUAGAGAACCGAUACUGACUUACCCCUUUAUUGCCGGUGAUGAGUCGGGGGCUUGUAUUUAGACUUAUUAAAUCUCCGUAUUUAAAAUAUCCGACAUCCAUUAAUUAAUUAGAGCUCUGACAGCUUAAAUUAAUUAAUCUCUUAAUAAUUCCUUAAGCAGUACCACUCAAACUUUAUUAUUGCGCCUGAACUUAAUCAACCUGCAGGGUUUAGCGCAAUAAACCUUAUUGAGCUCCUUAAGGGGAUGUCAUUAUCCUAUACCGGAUACGGGUACUAAUACAGAUAAUCAAAUAUCAUAUAUUAACCGCUAUCACCCAAGAUACAGAGUACUCGAGUUAGUAUAUAACUUUCACCCAUAGUAAGUCAAAGUGAUAUACGAAUUAACAUAUAUAUCUGAAUACUUAUUAGUAUUAAGAUUUAUAAGUCACCGAGAUCUUGAUUCUUCACUUAAGUCAGAUAGAAGAAUACAUCUCAACUGUGGUCCUAUCAAUACGUAAUGACGUACCAGUAUAGACAAGUAGCCAAGACAAACUACUUCCAUCUAUACUGCAGCCUAAACCAAUAACUUGUCCUAGAGUUAUUUCGGCUGUGAUCAUAUUAUUUAUUCUUAAGGUUAUUCCAAUUAUAUGGUCUUCUGUGAUCUACAACACACCAUAUAAUCUACUUAUAUAGAGAUAAAGAACAUACAUAUGCAAUCAUGAACACAAUCAGAUAGAAGAUUAGAUAGUGAACUUAGGAAACAUUGUAUACAAGCAUAAAACGUUCUUACUUUCAGUAUACAAAUCCAACAGUAGGCCUUCUUACUCCAGUCGCCAGAGUCCAGACAAGGACGAUUCAGACCCAUGGCUCGAUUUGGGCUCUGUGAAGGAGAGAGAGGACGUCGCCGAGGUUCGAUGCGUCGACAGACGACGUCGGCCGAAGCAAGUGAUAGCUGGACCGCCGGUGAAGGUGGAACCGAUCGGAUUUUGAGGGGCGCCGAGCGAGCAGGCUGGAGAGGAAGGGGCGAGCGGCUCCUUGAGAGAGAGAGAAAAGGGAAGAACCGAGAGUUGAGAGAGAAAUUUGGGCUUCCAUCCCUUAAAUAUUUAAGUGGGCCUUGUUUUAGCAAAUGGACCCCUAUUUUAAUUGUUUUGGGCCAGACUUUUAAGUUGGGUUUUGAAUUCUUUAAGUUUGGGCUUAAUUUUAUUUAAUUGUUUGGGCUUUCACAUUUAAAUUCGAACUGGGCCAGUCUUUUAUUUAAGUGGCCCUUCUCAUUAUUUCUAUUGGGCUUGAAUUAAUUUAAGGAGUUGGGCCGAUGCAUAUUUUAUGAUGGGCUAUUAUUCUAAUCCCAUUUAUAUUUCGUUUGGCCAGUUUAAUUCAUCAGUUGGGCCGAUUCUUAUUCAGUAAAUGAGCCGCCCAGUUUAUUAAUUAUUGUUUUGGACUUCAGAUUUAAAGCGAGCUAUCAUUGUUUAUUUCAUUAAAGCCACUGGUUUACUUAAUUAAUUGGCUACUCUCUUCUGAGCCUAUUAAUUAUUUGAGAUUACAUUAGUAAAUUAUGUUUCUAUCGAAAAGCCCGAUAAUUUCUACAAGGUCACACCUCGAUUAAAGCCGAGUUAGUUCUUUAUUUUCGAUCGAGUACAAAUGCGAGGUUUAUUUCACAGCUAGAAUAUUCUGAGGAGGAAGGAAGAAUCACAGCUCUUUUCGACCGCGUUAGACGAGAAUUAGCUAAAUCUAUUAACGAGGAUCAAUAGUAGAAUUCCCGAUUAUCGCUCAGAAGAUUAGUUCAUGCAUACGAGAUUCAUGCAUAGUUACAUUACGCUUUCUCAUUAAUUGAGAAUUUUCCUCGAAGCAAUGUCUUAUUUUAUAUUCUCGUGAUUAAGGUCAAGCGCGAGAGUAAGAACUAUUCAAGGAGUCACAGUACCUUAGCAAAACCUUGCUAUCAGGUGGGCAAUUUCUUACGCGUAAUAAAAAUGCUAUGAAAGACUAUGCAAGUGUGCUAUGCUUUAUUACGCUUAAUUGAGUUAAGCUUUAUUAUGCUUCACGCUAAAUGAUUUACGCUAUGCUGUUUAUGCUACUUACGCCUUAUGUGAUUUACGCUUAUUUACGCUUGAAUGCUUUACGCUAUUAAGUUGAUGCCUGUGUUUGAUGCUUGGGGGAGGCCUCCCUCAACAGUACGAUGCCGUGUCCGCUGAGGAGGGCCUUCCUCACGGCGCGAUGCCCGUGUCCGCUGAGGGAGGCCUCCCUCGCGGCGCGAUGCCAGUAUGCCAGUAUACCAGUGUUACAGCGUCUAUUGGGGGAGGCCUCCCUCAAUAGUACGAUGCCGUGACCGCUGAGGGAGGCCCCUCUCACGGCGCGAUGCCCGUGUUCGUUGGGGAAGGCCUUCUCCACGACACGAUGCUUGUUUAUGAUUAUUGAUGAUGAUGAAGGAUGCCCUCAUGCUAUUUAUGAAUUUGGAUAUGUCUAAUGAGCAAAGGAUUUGAAAGAAAUUUAUGCCUCUUAUGCGAAGCGUGUUUAUGAUUGUUAUUGAUGUUAAGUUUAUGCUUUAGUUUUGGCAACUGCCCACUAAGUACUCUUGUACUUAGCCCUACGUAUGUUUAUGUUUGUGCAGGUUGAGCUGUGAUG